This 57-nucleotide transfer RNA is filed under the name Bos taurus (domestic cattle). It matches the Rfam family "tRNA", at positions 8 to 63 of the family's 71-position model. From Rfam's summary of the family: Transfer RNA (tRNA) molecules are approximately 80 nucleotides in length. Their secondary structure includes four short double-helical elements and three loops (D, anti-codon, and T loops). The record is from Rfam by way of RNAcentral. Lineage: Eukaryota; Metazoa; Chordata; Mammalia; Artiodactyla; Bovidae.
UGGCUCAGAGGUUAAAGCAUCUGCCUACAAUGCAGGAGACCCAGGUUCGAUCCCUGG